CCCUUAGAGUUUGAUCCUGGCUCAGAAUCAACGCUGGCGGCGUGCCUAACACAUGCAAGUCGAACGAGAAAGUCCCCGCAAGGGGAUGAGUAAAGUGGCGAACGGGUGAGCAACACGUGACUAACCUGCCCUUGAGUGGGGGAUAACCCCGGGAAACCGGGGCUAAUACCGCAUAACAUCGCGAGUCCGCAGGGACAUGCGAUCAAAGAGGUAAGGCGCUCAAGGAGGGGGUCGCGGCUGAUUAGCUAGUUGGUGAGGUAACGGCUCACCAAGGCGAUGAUCAGUAUCCGGCCUGAGAGGGCGCACGGACACACUGGAACUGAAACACGGUCCAGACUCCUACGGGAGGCAGCAGUGGGGAAUUUUGCGCAAUGGGGGAAACCCUGACGCAGCAACGCCGCGUGGAGGAUGAAGUCCCUUGGGACGUAAACUCCUUUCGACCGGGACGAUAAUGACGGUACCGGUGGAAGAAGCCCCGGCUAACUUCGUGCCAGCAGCCGCGGUAAUACGAGGGGGGCAAGCGUUGUUCGGAAUUAUUGGGCGUAAAGGGCGCGUAGGCGGUGCGGUAAGUCUCCGGUGAAAUCUCUGGGCUCAACUCAGAGUCUGCCGGGGAAACUGCCGUGCUGGAGUGUGGGAGAGGUGAGUGGAAUUCCCGGUGUAGCGGUGAAAUACGUAGAUAUCGGGAGGAACACCUGUGGCG
RNAcentral lists this ribosomal RNA (700 nucleotides) under uncultured bacterium. RNAcentral describes it as "bacterial SSU rRNA". It matches the Rfam family "Bacterial small subunit ribosomal RNA", at positions 1 to 717 of the family's 1533-position model. The record is from RNAcentral.